GACGAACGCUGGCGGCGUGCUUAACACAUGCAAGUCGAACGGUAAGGCCCUUCGGGGUACACGAGUGGCGAACGGGUGAGUAACACGUGGGUGAUCUGCCCUGCACUUCGGGAUAAGCCUGGGAAACUGGGUCUAAUACCGGAUAGGACCACUGCCUGCAUGGGUGGUGGUGGAAAGCUUUUGCGGUGCGGGAUGGGCCCGCGGCCUAUCAGCUUGUUGGUGGGGUGAUGGCCUACCAAGGCGACGACGGGUAGCCGGCCUGAGAGGGUGACCGGCCACACUGGGACUGAGAUACGGCCCAGACUCCGACGGGAGGCAGCAGUGGGGAAUAUUGCACAAUGGGCGCAAGCCUGAUGCAGCGACGCCGCGUGGGGGAUGACGGCCUUCGGGUUGUAAACCUCUUUCAGCACCGACGAAGCGCAAGUGACGGUAGGUGCAGAAGAAGGACCGGCCAACUACGUGCCAGCCGCCGCCGCGG
Molecule: ribosomal RNA, 478 nt
Filed under: uncultured bacterium
Lineage: Bacteria
Description: partial 16S ribosomal RNA
Rfam family: Bacterial small subunit ribosomal RNA
Source: RNAcentral